GCAUGGACGAAUUCUGCGUUGGCUUUGACAAUGGCUGAUGGAGUCAGACACCAUGCAAGAAUAACGUCUCUGUCUCGGAUCUUCCUCAUGGCCUGCUCUGCCUAAGGCGGCACGGCCCCAUCUGAAAGGGAUACACAG
Small nucleolar RNA from Elgaria multicarinata webbii, 138 nucleotides. RefSeq annotates it as small nucleolar RNA SNORA15. The record is from RefSeq and is a predicted model, not a curated record. NCBI's taxonomy places the organism in Eukaryota, Metazoa, Chordata, Lepidosauria, Squamata, Anguidae. The transcript has a single exon.